RNAcentral lists this ribosomal RNA (122 nucleotides) under Pyrus x bretschneideri (Chinese white pear). Lineage: Eukaryota; Viridiplantae; Streptophyta; Magnoliopsida; Rosales; Rosaceae. The record is from RNAcentral.
GGAUGCGAUCAUACCAACUCACAUGCACCGGAUCCCAUCAGAGCUCCGAAGUUAAGCGAGUUUGGGCGAGAGUAGUACUAGGAUGGGUGACCUCCUGGGAAGUCCUCGUGUUGCAUCCCCCC